UAUGGAGCAAUAAUUAUAAAAUAAUUCUUUGUUUUGACUUGCUUAAUUUGGACAUGACAAACUUCUUAUUACACUUUUAAAAUUUGAGCUACU
RNAcentral lists this small nucleolar RNA (93 nucleotides) under Theobroma cacao (cacao). RNAcentral describes it as "Small nucleolar RNA snoR8a". It matches the Rfam family "Small nucleolar RNA snoR8a". The record is from Rfam by way of RNAcentral. Lineage: Eukaryota; Viridiplantae; Streptophyta; Magnoliopsida; Malvales; Malvaceae.